This 1394-nucleotide ribosomal RNA is filed under the name uncultured bacterium. RNAcentral describes it as "bacterial SSU rRNA". It matches the Rfam family "Bacterial small subunit ribosomal RNA". The record is from RNAcentral.
AGAGUUUGAUCCUGGCUCAGGAUGAACGCUAGCUACAGGCUUAACACAUGCAAGUCGAGGGGCAUCAGGAAGAAAGCUUGCUUUCUUUGCUGGCGACCGGCGCACGGGUGAGUAACACGUAUCCAACCUGCCCUUUACUCGGGGAUAGCCUUUCGAAAGAAAGAUUAAUACCCGAUGGCAUAAUGAUUCCGCAUGGUUUCAUUAUUAAAGGAUUCCGGUAAAGGAUGGGGAUGCGUUCCAUUAGGUUGUUGGUGAGGUAACGGCUCACCAAGCCUUCGAUGGAUAGGGGUUCUGAGAGGAAGGUCCCCCACAUUGGAACUGAGACACGGUCCAAACUCCUACGGGAGGCAGCAGUGAGGAAUAUUGGUCAAUGGGCGCUAGCCUGAACCAGCCAAGUAGCGUGAAGGAUGAAGGCUCUAUGGGUCGUAAACUUCUUUUAUAUAAGAAUAAAGUGCAGUAUGUAUACUGUUUUGUAUGUAUUAUAUGAAUAAGGAUCGGCUAACUCCGUGCCAGCAGCCGCGGUAAUACGGAGGAUCCGAGCGUUAUCCGGAUUUAUUGGGUUUAAAGGGAGCGUAGGUGGACUGGUAAGUCAGUUGUGAAAGUUUGCGGCUCAACCGUAAAAUUGCAGUUGAUACUGUCAGUCUUGAGUACAGUAGAGGUGGGCGGAAUUCGUGGUGUAGCGGUGAAAUGCUUAGAUAUCACGAAGAUCUCCGAUUGCGAAGGCAGCUCACUGGACUGCAACUGACACUGAUGCUCGAAAGUGUGGGUAUCAAACAGGAUUAGAUACCCUGGUAGUCCACACAGUAAACGAUGAAUACUCGCUGUUUGCGAUAUACAGUAAGCGGCCAAGCGAAAGCAUUAAGUAUUCCACCUGGGGAGUACGCCGGCAACGGUGAAACUCAAAGGAAUUGACGGGGGCCCGCACAAGCGGAGGAACAUGUGGUUUAAUUCGAUGAUACGCGAGGAACCUUACCCGGGCUUAAAUUGCAGUGGAAUGAUGUGGAAACAUGUCAGUGAGCAAUCACCGCUGUGAAGGUGCUGCAUGGUUGUCGUCAGCUCGUGCCGUGAGGUGUCGGCUUAAGUGCCAUAACGAGCGCAACCCUUAUCUUCAGUUACUAACAGGUCAUGCUGAGGACUCUGGAGAGACUGCCGUCGUAAGAUGUGAGGAAGGUGGGGAUGACGUCAAAUCAGCACGGCCCUUACGUCCGGGCUACACACGUGUUACAAUGGGGGGUACAGAAGGCAGCUAGCGGGUGACCGUAUGCUAAUCCCAAAAGCCUCUCUCAGUUCGGAUCGAAGUCUGCAACCCGACUUCGUGAAGCUGGAUUCGCUAGUAAUCGCGCAUCAGCCACGGCGCGGUGAAUACGUUCCCGGGCCUUGCACUCACCGCCCGU